RNAcentral lists this ribosomal RNA (483 nucleotides) under uncultured bacterium. RNAcentral's name for it is "partial 16S ribosomal RNA". It matches the Rfam family "Bacterial small subunit ribosomal RNA", at positions 30 to 507 of the family's 1533-position model. The record is from RNAcentral.
AUUGAACGCUGGCGGCAGGUCUAACACAUGCAAGUCGAGCGGAUGAAGGGAGCUUGCUCCUGGAUUCAGCGGCGGACGGGUGAGUAAUGCCUAGGAAUCUGCCUGGUAGUGGGGGAUAACGUCCGGAAACGGGCGCUAAUACCGCAUACGUCCUGAGGGAGAAAGUGGGGGAUCUUCGGACCUCACGCUAUCAGAUGAGCCAGGUCGGAUUAGCUAGUUGGUGGGGUAAAGGCCUACCAAGGCGACGAUCCGUAACUGGUCUGAGAGGAUGAUCAGUCACACUGGAACUGAGACACGGUCCAGACUCCUACGGGAGGCAGCAGUGGGGAAUAUUGGACAAUGGGCGAAAGCCUGAUCCAGCCAUGCCGCGUGUGUGAAGAAGGUCUUCGGAUUGUAAAGCACUUUAAGUUGGGAGGAAGGGCAGUAAGUUAAUACCUUGCUGUUUUGACGUUACCAACAGAAUAAGCACCGGCUAACUUCGUG